UCACACUGAAGAAUGGCCACAAAGAAUGCU
Molecule: non-coding RNA, 30 nt
Filed under: Homo sapiens (human)
Lineage: Eukaryota; Metazoa; Chordata; Mammalia; Primates; Hominidae
Source: RNAcentral